CCUACGGGGGGCAGCAGUGGGGAAUAUUGCACAAUGGGGGAAACCCUGAUGCAGCGACGCCGCGUGAAGGAAGAAGUAUUUCGGUAUGUAAACUUCUAUUAGCAGGGAAGAAAAUGACGGUACCUGACUAAGAAGCCCCGGCUAACUACGUGCCAGCAGCCGCGGGAAUACGUAGGGGGCAAGCGUUAUCCGGAUUUACUGGGUGUAAAGGGAGCGUAGGCGGUGAUGCAAGUCAGAAGUGAAAGCCCGCAGCUCAACUGCGGGAGUGCUUUUGAAACUGUAUGACUAGAUUGCAGGAGAGGUAAGUGGAAUUCCUAGUGUAGCGGUGAAAUGCGUAGAUAUUAGGAGGAACACCGAUGGCGAAGGCAGCUUACUGGACUGUAAAUGACGCUGAGGCUCGAAAGCGUGGGGAGCAAACAGGAUUAGAUACCCGUGUAGUC
Molecule: ribosomal RNA, 440 nt
Filed under: uncultured bacterium
Lineage: Bacteria
Description: partial 16S ribosomal RNA
Rfam family: Bacterial small subunit ribosomal RNA
Source: RNAcentral